RNAcentral lists this transfer RNA (77 nucleotides) under Gemmatimonadota bacterium. Its description in RNAcentral is "Gemmatimonadetes bacterium tRNA-Met". It matches the Rfam family "tRNA". Rfam says of the family: Transfer RNA (tRNA) molecules are approximately 80 nucleotides in length. Their secondary structure includes four short double-helical elements and three loops (D, anti-codon, and T loops). Further hydrogen bonds mediate the characteristic L-shaped molecular structure. tRNAs have two regions of fundamental functional importance: the anti-codon, which is responsible for specific mRNA codon recognition, and the 3' end, to which the tRNAs corresponding amino acid is attached (by aminoacyl-tRNA synthetases). tRNAs cope with the degeneracy of the genetic code in two manners: having more than one tRNA (with a specific anti-codon) for a particular amino acid; and 'wobble' base-pairing, i.e. permitting non-standard base-pairing at the 3rd anti-codon position. The record is from RNAcentral. Lineage: Bacteria; Pseudomonadati; Gemmatimonadota.
GGGCCCAUAGCUCAGUUGGUUAGAGCAGUCGACUCAUAAUCGAUCGGUCCCAGGUUCGAGUCCUGGUGGGCCCACCU